CUUGCCUGGGGUGUAGGAAGCGCAGUGGAAAGGGCUCUGGUUAGGCUUGGCUUUCUGGAAACAACCAGCUUAGGUCCUCUGGCAAGUCUUGGGAUCUUUUCUUUGGAGACUCAUAUUCUGGUCCAAUCUACUUUGUUUACAGAGAAAGAAACUGAGCACAAGGAAUUUGUCCAAGGUCAUAUAGAGAUGUAGUGGCAAAGCUGGAACUAGAGUCCGUUCUUGUCAGGGGAAAAAGAGGGCCUUGUGUCUCAGGCAGAUUGUUGAAGUCCCACAAUAUCUCUUCUCCAUCCCACUGUACCUGGAUAGUAGGUUAACCCGUACACCAAAUAACUGUCUAUAUUAGACGCCUCCAACCAGUUUCUGGCUGCCUGUCUUUGCUGCCAUGUUUUUUACAAGACGGAAAGAAACAAUUCUUGCUAUUUUUUUUCAUAAUUUACUAUUUAUGAUGUAUUUAAAUGUUUUAUUCAGGACAGAGUUCUGUAAGGGGUGGGAGGGGAUAUUUGAGGGAGGGCUGGGUCUUAGGGAAAGGAAUAGGGAACUCAUCGUUUUUAUGAAGUGUUACUAUUUGCCUCUACUUUGUAUUGUUCAGAAAUGGCAAAAUGUGAUGAUAAUAAAUAUCAUUUUAAUGUAUUAAACUUUCAUCACUUAAAAAAAAAAAAA
RNAcentral lists this long non-coding RNA (660 nucleotides) under Marmota monax (woodchuck). The record is from RNAcentral. Lineage: Eukaryota; Metazoa; Chordata; Mammalia; Rodentia; Sciuridae.